This 480-nucleotide ribosomal RNA is filed under the name uncultured bacterium. RNAcentral's name for it is "partial 16S ribosomal RNA". It matches the Rfam family "Bacterial small subunit ribosomal RNA", at positions 28 to 507 of the family's 1533-position model. The record is from RNAcentral.
GACGAACGCUGGCGGCGUGCUUAACACAUGCAAGUCGAACGAUGAAGAAAAGAAUUGAAGCUUCGGCAGAAAUUCAUUUCGGAUUAGUGGCAGACGGGUGAGUAACGCGUGAGCAACCUACCUCUUACAAAGGGAUAGCCUCGGGAAACCGGGAUUAAUACCAUAUAACAUUGCGACGAAGCAUUUCGAUGCAAUCAAAGCUACGGCGGUAAGAGAUGGGCUCGCGUCCCAUUAACCAGAUGGUGAGGUAACGGCUCACCAUAGUAACGAUGGGUAACCGGCCUGAGAGGGUGAACGGUCACACUGGAACUGAGACACGGUCCAGACUCCUACGGGAGGCAGCAGUGGGGAAUAUUGCACAAUGGAGGGAGCUCUGAUGCAGCGACGCCGCGUGAGUGAUGAAGGAAUUCGUUUCGUAAAACUCUGUUCUAUGGGAAGAAAAGGACUGUACCAUAGGAGAAAGCUCCGGCUAAAUACGUG